Molecule: unclassified non-coding RNA, 378 nt
Filed under: uncultured Chlamydiales bacterium
Lineage: Bacteria; Pseudomonadati; Chlamydiota; Chlamydiia; Chlamydiales
Description: contains 16S-23S intergenic spacer region
Source: RNAcentral
UCCUGGUUAACCCAGGCAGUCUCGUUAGAGUUCCCGCCAUUACGCGUUGGCAACUAACGAUAAGGGUUGCGCUCGUUGCUGGACUUAACCAAACACCUCACGGCACGAGCUGACGACAGCCAUGCAGCACCUAUAUAAAAGCCCUUACGGGAAACAACAUCUCUGUUGUCGUCCUCUAUAUUUCGAGCCCAGGUAAGGUUCUUCGCGUUGCAUCGAAUUAAACCACAUGCUCCACUGCUUGUGCGGGCCCCCGUCAAUUCUUUUGAGUUUCACCCUUGCGAGCGUACUCCCCAGGCGGUAUACUUAAUGCGUUAGCUCCGGAACAGAGGGGGUUGAGCCCUCCUACUCCUAGUAUACAUCGUUUAAGGCAUGGACUAC